RNAcentral lists this ribosomal RNA (252 nucleotides) under uncultured bacterium. RNAcentral describes it as "partial 16S ribosomal RNA". It matches the Rfam family "Bacterial small subunit ribosomal RNA", at positions 524 to 776 of the family's 1533-position model. The record is from RNAcentral.
UACGUAGGGGGCUAGCGUUAUCCGGAAUUACUGGGCGUAAAGGGUGCGUAGGUGGUUUCUCAAGUCAGAGGUGAAAGGCUACGGCUCAACCGUAGUAAGCCUUUGAAACUGGGGAACUUGAGUGCAGGAGAGGAGAGUGGAAUUCCUAGUGUAGCGGUGAAAUGCGUAGAUAUUAGGAGGAACACCAGUUGCGAAGGCGGCUCUCUGGACUGUAACUGACACUGAGGCACGAAAGCGUGGGGAGCAAACAGG